CAGUGUGUGGCGUAAUGGCUUAACGCAGUGGACUGUGAAUCCACGAAUGAGGGUUCGAUUCCCUCCAUGCUGA
This 73-nucleotide transfer RNA is filed under the name Bacillus phage vB_BanS-Tsamsa. It matches the Rfam family "tRNA". From Rfam's summary of the family: Transfer RNA (tRNA) molecules are approximately 80 nucleotides in length. Their secondary structure includes four short double-helical elements and three loops (D, anti-codon, and T loops). Further hydrogen bonds mediate the characteristic L-shaped molecular structure. tRNAs have two regions of fundamental functional importance: the anti-codon, which is responsible for specific mRNA codon recognition, and the 3' end, to which the tRNAs corresponding amino acid is attached (by aminoacyl-tRNA synthetases). tRNAs cope with the degeneracy of the genetic code in two manners: having more than one tRNA (with a specific anti-codon) for a particular amino acid; and 'wobble' base-pairing, i.e. permitting non-standard base-pairing at the 3rd anti-codon position. RNAcentral also lists the same sequence under 1 other name. Lineage: Duplodnaviria; Heunggongvirae; Uroviricota; Caudoviricetes. The record is from Rfam by way of RNAcentral.